Molecule: long non-coding RNA, 226 nt
Filed under: Elaeis guineensis (African oil palm)
Lineage: Eukaryota; Viridiplantae; Streptophyta; Magnoliopsida; Arecales; Arecaceae
Description: long non-coding RNA (EGUI_LNC061301)
Source: RNAcentral
GUAGUGGGCCGCCCAUGGUCAGGGGAAUUUAUUGCGAAGGGUAGUGGGGUAGACUCGUGGCUAUUGUCAUAGCCUGCCACGUAGGGCCUGUUGCAGGUAGUGGAGCGGCGUCCGUUGCUGCUAGUUGUCAGCGAGUAGUGGAAUCGUGCAGCACCUGCCGCAGGGAGCGGAGCAGAAUCGUGGCCGUUGACACAGCCUGUCAGAGAGUAAUGGGCCCGCCGCAGGG